UACGUAGGGUCCGAGCGUUGUCCGGAGUUACUGGGCGUAAAGCGCGCGCAGGCGGCGGUGCUGGCCCGGCGUGAAAGCCCCCGGCUCAACCGGGGAGAGUCGUCGGGGACCGCACCGCUUGAGGGCGGUAGGGGCUGGUGGAAUGCCUGGUGUAGUGGUGAAAUGCGUAGAGAUCAGGCAGAACACCUGGGGCGAAGGCGGCCAGCUGGGCCGUCCCUGACGCUGAGGCGCGAAGGCGUGGGGAGCAAACAGG
Molecule: ribosomal RNA, 253 nt
Filed under: uncultured bacterium
Lineage: Bacteria
Description: partial 16S ribosomal RNA
Rfam family: Bacterial small subunit ribosomal RNA
Source: RNAcentral